This 653-nucleotide ribosomal RNA is filed under the name Triticum aestivum (bread wheat). RNAcentral describes it as "partial small subunit ribosomal RNA". The record is from RNAcentral. Lineage: Eukaryota; Viridiplantae; Streptophyta; Magnoliopsida; Poales; Poaceae.
AAGGGGAACAACGAAGCUGAAAAGAGCGGCAGGCUAGGUUCUAGCACGCCUGGUGUCGAGCUCGGCGGCCGUUAACGUAUCAGGCGCUCCUGGGGCUGCGAGCUUGGGUGGGAGAGGCCGGGCAGGGAGCAGGGGCGCAGGCUGCUGGACGAGGUGGCGCGGCUAGCUGGGGCAGAGUGGGUGCGACGGCGGCCACUAGGCCCUCCGUCAGCUCCCCUGUCGCGCGCUGGCCUCCCCUACGCCGUCGUCGCCCCGCAGCCGUCCCCGCCCCCGGCCGCCCUAGGGCCCGACGACUGGUCCCACCACCUGUUCCAGAAGGCGAAGCAGGCGGAGCGGCUCAAGCUCUAGGAGAAACAGGAGAAGAAGGAGUAGCGGAAGUAGGAGAAGUUCCUAGAGUACAGAGCUGGUCUGAUGUUGGUCUAGAAACAGUUCUUCGGACUAGUUCUACUGGCGACCGGAAUCUCCAUGAAAGAAACCAGUCAUUACACACGGCUUCUAAUGGUGGUAACUCCAGACCUGCUAACCGAGGCUGCCAUUAGAACAACUCUUGUUCGAAUAUACCAAGGAUCAGUGAGCCUUAGAAACUUUGGAUCUAUUCGAUACGUAGAAUAAAAUCAGUAGUAAACUACUACCCAGGAGGAAUUUCUAGGUUU